Long non-coding RNA from Heterocephalus glaber (naked mole-rat), 589 nucleotides. NCBI's taxonomy places the organism in Eukaryota, Metazoa, Chordata, Mammalia, Rodentia, Bathyergidae. The record is from Ensembl.
CAGGCUUUGAGGAAGACAGGCAGACACAACAGUAAAAUAUAGCUUCUUUGGGACCUGGAAUCAAGACACUUGGAAAACAACAGCUUAGUGAAGACAAAAAGUAGAUUUCCAGGAAUCAAGAGAGUCACCAAGAAAACCAGAAACUACAGAGGAACUGAAGACAACACAGAGAAAAGAAAGAAGCAGUGUGGACAGCUAAUGCUAGGGGGGCCCUGACUCCAUCCACAGAUGCAAGCACAGAGCUCAGUGGACUGUUUGCUUCUCCAUCUGCUGACAUGAUGAGGGAUACGCCUCAGCUUGGACAGUUCCCACAUCCUGAGUAUACGAAGGGACCACUGGAGCAAAGGAGGCACCUCACAAGCCCACAGGCCACAAAGCCAAUUAGAGAAAGCAUGACUUGGUGCACACAGAAGGGCACAAACACUAGGAACUGCUAGAGUGACUGCAGCCUUGAGGCAGAGAACAUACCAUGGACUGUGACACUUAUUGGGAAAGGCAGGACAGGAUUCGGCAUUCACACAGCACAGAGUGGACUUGAAAACAAAAUAGGUCCCAGCCCUGAGGUUUGUGUCUAAACAGAGAAAGUGGC